AGUGGGAUGGCCGAGUUGGUCUAAGGCGUUAGACUAGGGAUCUCGGGGGCGUGGGUUCAAAUUUCACUCUCAUUA
RNAcentral lists this transfer RNA (75 nucleotides) under Sphaerobolus stellatus SS14. RNAcentral describes it as "tRNA-Pro (AGG) (tRNA-Pro-AGG-17-1)". It matches the Rfam family "tRNA". Rfam says of the family: Transfer RNA (tRNA) molecules are approximately 80 nucleotides in length. Their secondary structure includes four short double-helical elements and three loops (D, anti-codon, and T loops). The record is from RNAcentral. Lineage: Eukaryota; Fungi; Basidiomycota; Agaricomycetes; Geastrales; Sphaerobolaceae.